RNAcentral lists this ribosomal RNA (124 nucleotides) under Lepisosteus oculatus (spotted gar). The record is from RNAcentral. Lineage: Eukaryota; Metazoa; Chordata; Actinopteri; Semionotiformes; Lepisosteidae.
GCCAGCAGCCAUAUCACUCUGCAACUCUGCAACUCACGACUGGCAUCCCACUGAAGCUAAGCAGGUGUGUGCCUGGUCAGUACCUGGAUGGGAGACCUGGGAAAAACCAAGGUUGCUGCUGGAA